RNAcentral lists this ribosomal RNA (198 nucleotides) under uncultured bacterium. RNAcentral describes it as "partial 16S ribosomal RNA". It matches the Rfam family "Bacterial small subunit ribosomal RNA", at positions 328 to 539 of the family's 1533-position model. The record is from RNAcentral.
ACGCUCGACACCUACGGAGGCAGCAGUUGGGAAUAUUGGACAAUGGAGGAAACUCUGAUCCAGUGACGCCGCGUGAAGGAAGAAGGUCUUCGGAUUGUAAACUUAUUUUGUCAGGGAAGAAAAAUGACUGUACCUGAAGAAAAGCACCGGCUAACUACGUGCCAGCAGCCGCGGUAAUCUGAGGCGGGCUGGCAAGGC